This 225-nucleotide unclassified non-coding RNA is filed under the name Melitaea cinxia (Glanville fritillary). RNAcentral describes it as "misc RNA ENSMCXG00005007292.1". The record is from RNAcentral. Lineage: Eukaryota; Metazoa; Arthropoda; Insecta; Lepidoptera; Nymphalidae.
AAAAAUACAGACUAUGCUUAACGCAUAGACUUUUGCUUGUCAAUAUUCCCGAGCGCGGGAAGGAGCGCCUUGCUCGCGUGUCUUUGCUUCUUUUUCUUUGCGCUUCGUUUCCGCCGAACCUCGAGACCUAACCUCGACCCUAACUCGGCUUAAAUCCCGCUGGGGAUUUAUUUUUAGAUUUAUAUCUUUAAUUAUACUUUGCUACAAAUCGAGUCACUGCCCUCG